UACGUAGGGUGCAAGCGUUAAUCGGAAUUACUGGGCGUAAAGCGUACGCAGGCGGCUGUGUAAGACAGGCGUGAAAUCCCCGGGCCUAACCUGGGAACUGCAUUUGUGACUGCAUAGCUAGAGUCUGUCAGAGGGGGGUGGAAUUCCACGUGUAGCAGUGAAAUGCGUAGAGAUGUGGAGGAACACCGAUGGCGAAGGCAGCCCCCUGGGAUAAGACUGACGCUCAUGUACGAAAGCGUGGGGAGCAAACAGG
This 253-nucleotide ribosomal RNA is filed under the name uncultured bacterium. RNAcentral describes it as "partial 16S ribosomal RNA". It matches the Rfam family "Bacterial small subunit ribosomal RNA", at positions 524 to 776 of the family's 1533-position model. The record is from RNAcentral.